Sander lucioperca (pikeperch) is the source of this 177-nucleotide long non-coding RNA. RefSeq lists it as uncharacterized. The record is from RefSeq and is a predicted model, not a curated record. NCBI's taxonomy places the organism in Eukaryota, Metazoa, Chordata, Actinopteri, Perciformes, Percidae. The transcript has 3 exons.
GGUCUAUCCGUUGCUCUGAUUGGUUGUAGGUCUAUCCGUUGCUCUGAUUGGUUGUAGGUCUAUCCAAUUGAGUGCAGAGGCAUUUUCUUUGCUGGUUCGGUUGAAACACGCCCCAUAAUCACAGCCCAAUGGAGCAGCAUCAGACUCAGAUUCUGACUAGAAUCUGACAAUGACGAU